CAGUAGCCACGGGAAUACGAGGGGGGCAAGCGUUGUUCGGAAUUAUUGGGCGUAAAGGGUGCGUAGGCGGCUUGACAAGUCUUGUGUGAAAUCUAUGGGCUCAACCCAUAGUCUGCACGGGAAACUGUCGGGCUUGAGAAUGGGAGAGGUGAGUGGAAUUUCCGGUGUAGCGGUGAAAUGCGUAGAUAUCGGAAGGAACACCUGUGGCGAAAGCGGCUUACUGGACCAUUUCUGACGCUGAUGCACGAAAGCUAGGGGAGCAAACAGGAUUAGAUACCCCCGUAGUCCCUGUCUCUUUAUA
Molecule: ribosomal RNA, 301 nt
Filed under: uncultured bacterium
Lineage: Bacteria
Description: partial 16S ribosomal RNA
Rfam family: Bacterial small subunit ribosomal RNA
Source: RNAcentral